This 385-nucleotide ribosomal RNA is filed under the name uncultured bacterium. RNAcentral's name for it is "bacterial SSU rRNA". It matches the Rfam family "Bacterial small subunit ribosomal RNA", at positions 28 to 417 of the family's 1533-position model. The record is from RNAcentral.
GACGAACGCUGGCGGCGUGCUUAACACAUGCAAGUCGAGCGGUAAGGCCCUUUCGGGGGUACACGAGCGGCGAACGGGUGAGUAACACGUGGGUGACCUGCCUUUAGCUCUGGGAUAAGCCUGGGAAACCGGGUCUAAUACCGGAUAUGACUCCGCGGCGCAUGUUGUGGGGUGGAAAGCCUUGUGCGGCUGGAGAUGGGCCCGCGGCCUAUCAGCUUGUUGGUGGGGUGAUGGCCUACCAAGGCGACGACGGUAGCCGGCCUGAGAGGGCGACCGGCCACACUGGGACUGAGACACGGCCCAGACUCCUACGGGAGGCAGCAGUGGGAAUCUUGCGCAGUGGGCGAAAGCCUGACGCAGCGACGCCGCGUGAGGAUGACGGCCU